Molecule: ribosomal RNA, 3164 nt
Filed under: Dermanyssus gallinae
Lineage: Eukaryota; Metazoa; Arthropoda; Arachnida; Mesostigmata; Dermanyssidae
Description: eukaryotic LSU rRNA
Rfam family: Eukaryotic large subunit ribosomal RNA (bases 7-2540)
Source: RNAcentral
ACGUGUAUCUGAAAUCAAGUGUGACGACCCGCUGAACUUAAGCAUAUCAAUAAGCGGAGGAAAAGAAAUCAAAUGAGAUUUCCCUAGUAGCUGCGAGUGAACUGGAAUCAAGCCUAUUGCCAAUUCUUAUGUUUUGUACAAUAAGAGAUGAGGUGUAAAGGUAUCUCGUGUUCAGCAGUGGCACGGCCUAAUUAUUAUUGAGUCAGUGCUCAAAGAAGGUGAAAAGCCUGUAUGGUUGCGCCGAUCUGUUGAACCGUGAUACUGGAGAGUCUAGUUGUUUGAGAGUACAACUUAAAGUUGGUGGUAAAUUUCAUCAAAGGCUAAAUAUACGAAGGGACUAAUAGCGAACAAGUACCAUGAGGGAAAGUUGAAAAGAACUCUGACGAGAGAGUUCAACAGUACGUGAAACCACAUUGAGUAAAACAGAUAACUGUGUUGUUAUGUGGUGUGCCUAUCAACAGUCACUUCGGCGUUGCCACGUUUUGGGUGUAGGCUGUCUAUUCAGCUGAAUGCCUAAAACUAGCAUAGUCGGAGGUGCUGUGCACUAGUGCGCACUCGAUCAUUGAGAAGCUAUGCCGCUGCUGCAUCGGUAUGUGUCAGUCCGCACUUAGUGUGUAGUCACAUGCUGGGUAAUUGCUAGCCUUGGCGUAGUUUAGCUGUGUGACAGCUGUGGGUUGCGUUUGUCGAUUGUAGCUGCUGUAUCUGCGAACUGGUUUAUUCCUUUUUGCGGUGAGUAUGUUGCAGGACGCAAGCAGCCCGCCAUCAAUGGUUAACAUUAGUUAUUUGACCCGUCUUGAAACACGGACCAAGGAGUUCAAAUGGCACGCGAGUCAUUGGGUUUAAUCACCCGAAGGCGAAGUGAAAUGCAAACGUAUUGUUAUUUGUGGUUGUUCCAUGAUUAAGCGAUAAGCUACUUAUGCUUUCUGGCAUUUGUAGACUACAAGCGUGAUGUUUGAGACCCGAAAGAUGGUGACCUAUGCCUAGUCAAGAUGAAGCCAGAGGAAACUCUGGUGGAUGUCUGAAGUUGUUCUGACGUGCAAAUCGAUAAUCUGAUCUGGGUAUAGGGGCGAAAGACUAAUCGAACCAUCUAGUAGCUGGUUCCUUCCGAAGUUUCCCUCAGGAUAGCAAGCGUACAUUUUUAGUUUCAUCCCGUAAAGCGAAUGAUUAGAGGUAUUGGGGCGUAUAUAGCCUCAACCUAUUCUCAAACUUUUAAUGGGUGUGAGUGUUCUUUCUCAAUUGAAGAACGCUGUUAAAUAAGUAUGCUUAGUGGGCCAUUUUUGGUAAGCAGAACUGGCGCUGUGGGUUGAACCAAUUGUUGAGUUAAAGUGCCUAAAGCUGGAAUGCGCAUGAGAUCUAUAAAGGGUGUUAGUUGCUGAAGACAGCAGGACGGUGGCCAUGGAAGUCGGAAUCCGCUAAGGAGUGUGUAACAACUCACCUGCCAAAGCAACUAGCCCCAAAAAUGGAUGGCGCUAUAGCAUUGUACUUAUACUCAACCUCUGAUGUGCAGCAUCGGUACACUCAGAGAGUAGGAAGGUAAUGUGAUAGCGUCGAAGGAUUUUGCUGUAAAGUAAUCUGGAGCUGUCACAUGUGCAGAUCUUGGUGGUAGUAGCAAGUACUCAAUUGAAAACCUUGAGCACUGAAGUUGGGGAUGGGUUCCAUGUGAACAGUAGUUGAUCGUGGGUCAGUCGGUCCUAAGCUUAUGAUGAAACAUGUGUUGAAUGUGUAUAAUAAUGUGUUAUCACUGUAAGCGAAAGGGAAUCAGGCUAACAUUCCUGAACCUGUACACCGGUGUGCUACUCUGUAGCAAUCGUGGCAACACAAGUGCGCUCAAAGACACCAAGGGAUAGGCUAGGAAGAGUUAUCUUUUCUUUUUAAGUCACUUGUACCCAUGGAAUGAAGUAGAUUUGAGAUAUGGGUAAGGGUGACAUAAAGCUGCUCAUUUUAGAGUAGUUUAGUUGACUCCCUUGGUCCUUGAAAAUUUGAGCGUGGUGUUAACCUUGGUGGCAGUCCGUACUAGUAUCCGCAGCAGGUCUCCAAGGUGCGUAGCCUUUAGUGUCUAGAUUAAUGUAGGUAAGGGAAGUCGGCAAAAUAGUUCUGUAACUUUGGGAGAAGGGAUGGCUCUGAAGGUUGAUCCAGUCAGGUUGACAGUAGAAGUAUUUAUGACAUUGUGUUGUCGCCGGAUGGGCUUCGUACCCGUCUGGAUGAUGACCGAAGUUGUGCUUAUGGACAUUGUUAGCUGAUUCGGUUUAUUCUGAUAUGACUGGAAAUUAUCAACUACUUCAGAACUGGUACGAACUGAGGGAAUCCGACUGUCUAAUUAAAACAAAGCAUUGUGAAGUCCAGUAAUUGGUUAUGACACAAUGUGAUUUCUGCCCAGUGCUCUGAAUGUCAAAGUGAAGAGAUUCUUUGAAGCGCGGGUAAACGGCGGGAGUAACUAUGAGUAUGUAUGUAUCCCUAGGGAUACAUAUAUAGCAUUGUAGUAGCCGCCGCUACCGCGGCCAUCUUGGAUAGCCGGCCAGUUGGUCACCACGUGGCCUCGUGGCGAGAGCGGCAUUCAAGAGGGAGUGUGUUGUGGGAGAAGUUGACGUGCACAUUGCACAUCGACAACGUGCAGGCGCGCACCCGGACCAACGUACGGGUGACGUCUGCCCCACAUUCAGGUACGAGAUAACGUACAGGGCGCGUAGGCCAACCUCACGUUCGCAAGCGGGUGUGCAUAUGAGCCGGCCAACGCGCACAGAGUGGUGACAUACAUAUAUAUAUUUAUAUAUGUAUGUAGCGCUCUGUGUUGUGAACCGGCCAUAGGUUAACAGCUGCGAACGAGUAACCGGCUUGCGUGUAGUAACAAGGGUGGCCUGUACUGAUCGUUGCUUGUUACACACAUCCCAUGAUCACUGUGCACUGGUAAUAUUAAUAUAUUGUGUGCUACCUAUAUCUCACUAGAUCAUAGGGGGGCGGCGCUGGUAUUCGUUAUACGUAUACUAUCCGCCCUGUAGAGCAAUCUACUAGCUAUACGAUAUAUUAAUUAGUGCUGCUACAUAUAUACACACACGACAACCAAACACUGUGUUGAUACAUUGUGACAGUGUACGGUUUGGCACCGUGUGGUCAGGCUAAUUAUACUUGGCUGUUCCAGAACACUGCCAAUUGACACACCUGCAAUC